Molecule: long non-coding RNA, 365 nt
Filed under: Rattus norvegicus (Norway rat)
Lineage: Eukaryota; Metazoa; Chordata; Mammalia; Rodentia; Muridae
Description: long non-coding RNA NONRATT007243
Source: RNAcentral
UGCUGGAAGGUGCCUGAGCUCAAAUGGCCCAGCAUUUACCAGGCCCUCCAGUGCCAUGAGCUCGAUUUUGUGUCUGCUCUCAGAGAGAAGCCAGAUUUGUCUGUUACCGGCUUUGACUUGCUCCCUGUCAGUUUCCACAGCCCUGAAAGGGAAGUUGAGCUGCUGGAAAGAAAGAGACUCUCACCCUGGAGGGGUUUCUUGCCUGAGUGCUAAGGACCUCGACCUCUGCGCUUGGCCAGUGUAAUGGAAGGGUCUGACUGAGAUUAAGGCUUGUCCCUGAGGCACAGAAAAGAACAAGAUGAGAAAUGAUCUCAGUCCCUGUGGGCUCAUCCUGCAGCAAUUAGAGCUGAAAUUUCAGAGAACAA